Molecule: ribosomal RNA, 293 nt
Filed under: uncultured bacterium
Lineage: Bacteria
Description: partial 16S ribosomal RNA
Rfam family: Bacterial small subunit ribosomal RNA
Source: RNAcentral
GGAUUAGAUACCCUGGUAGUCCACGCCGUAAACGAUGAGAACUAGCCGUUGGGCCCCCUAGGGGUUUGGUGGCGCAGCUAACGCGAUAAGUUCUCCGCCUGGGGAGUACGGCCGCAAGGUUAAAACUCAAAUGAAUUGACGGGGGCCCGCACAAGCGGUGGAGCAUGUUGUUUAAUUCGAUGCAACGCGAAGAACCUUACCACCCCUUGACAUCCACGGAACUUUCCAGAGAUGGAUUGGUGCCUUCGGGAACCGUGUGACAGGUGCUGCAUGGCUGUCGUCAGCUCGUGCCG